ACGAAAUGCUUUUCGAAAAUUCUUUACUGCCAUAGUAUAUAGAGUAUACAUAGUUUUCGUAAAUAUUCGCAAGAAUAUGAAAAUUUGCAACUCGUUCGAGGCGUGGUCUCAUCCUUAAUCGAUAGUUUGUUAAAACAGAAAAAUGAUUUCGUUAUCGCUUCAAGUAUCGCUGCGACUGUACUUGCUCGCGAUUCCACGUAUUUCCACACUCGCCACAGAAAACUUUUACCUUCGUAGUUAUUAGCUCGUCUGGGUGGUACGUAUUAUACGCGUAUAAAACAUUUCGAAAUUUCAUUAACGCUAUGUACUUUCAAAUACUUUCGUGAGUCAAUGUUUCCAGCUUUUCUCAAUUCUCUUCCAUUCUUUGCUCUCUUGUUACUCACAUUAUUAUAGUUUGUCGUUAACACUUUACUGACCGCUAGCGGUUCAACAGCAUACGCACGUCCGACCGGCAACUCAGGCGCAAAUUCUCCCUGGCGCCGCCUCUGUUUCGGUUUAGGCUCUCCAAGACCAUUCUUUUCGUUUAUUGAGAACGGUCAGUUUUUCAAAUUGGCAUAAAACUGUGGGAGCUUACGAAGCGACGCAACUGACGCAACUGGGCAAGGUACCUUAGUACUAAAUAACAAAUUACUGUUCAAAUAAUGAGAAAGAUUGUCGACGAUAAAAAGCCGAUUAAUAGGCUAUCGGUCGGUAAGCGUCGGCGACAAAAAGCCGAUUAAUCGGCUAUCGAUCGGUAAGCGUCGGCGACAAAAAGCCGAUUAUUCGGCUAUCGGUCGGUAAAGUGUUGAAACUUUCAUGUACGAUAAUGAAUAUUCAUAAUGAAAAUAGGCAACGACGUGUUACGUUAAUGCAAAUUACGAUACACCUUUAAUCGGUUGUAUGCGCAAGCUUCGUUGCUGAAAAAUGAAACAUGAACCACACGUGUUGUGUAGAUACUCUCAGCAAGCUCAAAUGAAAUACGUAACACAGCUGAAAAGAAAACGGAUAAACGCGUUAUGGGGUGCGUAACUUUAAACGCGUUUAUCUGGAAAUGUCGUUUACGCGCGUCAAUCUCUUUCCACCGGAGUACGUCGCAUACGAAGAUCACAGGAGGGAGAGAUAACGAGUACAUUUUUAUUGAUUUAAAACUCGCUCUACAAUUCGUUCUAAUCAACACUCUUUCACAAAAGGUGGAAACCAAUUCAACGAUUCGAUUGGAACUCGUUCGCCAAUUAGCAACGGUACUAGACGGUGCUAGAGCAAAUUCUCUCUAAUCAGCUUUCUAACGAUGAAAUUGUUUUCGCAAACAGAGAAAUUAGCGAAAAGCCGAAUGAGAUAUUCGGUAAACGAGUCGCUUCUCUUUAUCCUCGCCCACUGCAUCUCUUUCCCGGACGAUUGUCAGGAAUUUCAUGGAAAAAGCAGCUCGAUCUACGAAUGGAACUCGUUGCUGGAUUACCUUCCAAUUAGAAUUGUUUACGCAGCCAGUUAGGUGGCAAUCGUCCCUGUUCCCAUCGAAACGACAUUCAACUUCGCCGAUGUAAAUUCAGCCGGGCGCGUGUCCCCGUGUCAUUAACCUUUCUCACGAAUCAAUGUUCCUGCUGCAUCGUUUAAUCGUGCUUGCCUCCAUUCCGUUUAUUCGAGUGGAUGCAACCGAAGGAAAAUUAUUUUACCUUUUCCGCUUGUUGCUACGCGUGCGGCUCGAAUGGCUUGUGGAAAUUGCACGAGGCAACGCGAACCGAGGGACUAAAACGAACAGAAGGAGUACACAGAGAAAUCUGACUGUCACCGACCAGAGUUUCUGCUUGCAAAACGUCUUUCAUCAUCUUCCUCCUCUGCUUAUCGCUUCGAGAAACGAUAAAGGAUAUUGCUUUUAUCGUGUGCGGAGGUUGUUACAUAGUAUCGCGCACGCAGUUCUUCAGUAAAGUAUCGAGACAUUUGGAAGAGAAUUUUUUUACGUAUAUAUCAGGUACAUUAUAAGAGACGCUUCUCUUUUAUUUCCGCUCAGUGUAACUUUGUCUUGUGAAGUCGGUUCCCGUUUGAACUUCUGUAUUUGCGUAUGCGUAUUUGGCAUAGUUGCCACAACCGCUUAAUCUGACCAAAGGACGCUAGUUCGCAUGUGUUCGGAUGCUUUCGCCAGACACUGUAUAUUUGCAAUAAUUUGAAAGCGUUCUAAUGCUACGAUUAUGAACAGAAAGGAACGACGAAGCGGAAGGAGAAGCAAGCGGAGAGGAAACGGAGAGUCGGUUGUUCCGCCGCGUGUUGUUUCAUUUAGGUAAUUCAGCGAAUCGAUGAGUAUCGAGUGGCGCGCAGCCGUUUUCGAAUAUGGGUCAGUGGUCGAUACGCAUGUCCUGUGUCGCGCACCUAUCUACGCAGUAUGGACGUCCAUAGAGUACGUACGUAUGUACUAUAUAUAUAGGGAACAGGAGCGUUCAAAAGUAUUUGGACAUUUUGGUUAAUUUUUUAGCAACCAUAUCAUAACGACGAAUUAACGCGUUAACUUCACGGUUUAUGGACAUCGAGAAAGCAUUUGACAAAAUAAACCACGAAAGUCUACUUCAAUCAAUCAGAAAACAAUUCCCGGAGCAGAUAUACCAUUUAAUUAAAUCUUAUUUAAGCAGCAGAACCUUCGUGGUAAAAAUUAAAGACACAUACUCUGAAGUUAAAGACAUCAAAGCAGGGGUUCCGCAAGGAAGCGUCUUAGGACCAAUUCUAUACACACUAUACACGGCCAACAUACCAACAACUACUAAUAGCAAGAUACUGACAUUCGCGGACGACACAGCGGUACUAGUCAGGCACAAUGACCCUGCAACAGCAGUCACAUUACUACAAGAACAUAUCACAAAUAUAGAAAAGUGGCUUCGAGUUAAACAAAUUAAGGCAAACCCCGAUAAAUGCAACCACAUUACAUUCACACUGCGAAAACAGAUACCACCAAACAUUACAUUGAACGGCACGUACAUAAUACAAACAAGGCAAGUCAAAUACCUAGGACUCCACUUAGAUACGCGAUUCACAUGGAAACAGCAUAUUAAAUCUAUAAUAGACAAAAUACAGAUAGCAAGGAGACAAAUGUAUUGGUUAACAAGUCGAAGAUCCAAACUAAGCAUAGAAAACAAACUAAAAAUAUACAAAACGAUCAUAAAACCAAUUUGGACGUACGGAAUACCACUUUGGGGAACAGCAGUAAUGAGCCAUAUAAGCAAAAUAGAGACAAUCCAAGCUAAAAUUCUUAGCUGAAUUGCAAACACCCCAUGGUACGUUAGAAACGAGGACAUACGGAAAGACCUUGGAAUACCAUCGGUCAAGGAAGAGAUUAGCAGAUUCGCAAGAAGGUACAGAGAAAAAAUAGCAACGCACCCGAACCGGCUGGCAGCGGAAACGAUCAACACAAGCAUAGAAAGAAGACUAAAAAGGAAACACCCAGCAGAUCUCACAAAGGAUAUAUCCUAACAAACACGAAGAUGGUACCCCAUUGGGGGUAGCCACCCACAUGAUAAUCAAACAGCUAAAAAAUUCUACCAAAUGUCCAAAUUAGACAAAUUGUGAAUGUGAAAUAUUAAAUAAAAAAAAUAAAAAAAAAA
Bombus huntii is the source of this 3563-nucleotide long non-coding RNA. RefSeq lists it as uncharacterized. Lineage: Eukaryota; Metazoa; Arthropoda; Insecta; Hymenoptera; Apidae. The record is from RefSeq and is a predicted model, not a curated record. The transcript has 2 exons.